Canis lupus familiaris (dog) is the source of this 2774-nucleotide long non-coding RNA. RefSeq lists it as uncharacterized. The record is from RefSeq and is a predicted model, not a curated record. The transcript is spliced from 10 exons. NCBI's taxonomy places the organism in Eukaryota, Metazoa, Chordata, Mammalia, Carnivora, Canidae.
CAACAGAGAGAUGUCAACAGAAAGCGCUGACAGAGGGACAGGCUGGACUUGUUCAUGCAACACAGAUGAAGAGUCAAGAGUGUAGUCACUGGAACAACAAAAGCAAAUAAAUAAAAACAAGGAACUUAGUGGAAGUGUUAUGAAAGCCAAGUAGAGAACUAACCUGAAAACGGAGGAAUGCAAAAAAGACCAGACUGAGAAUCAUAGAGCAAUGUCUACAAAAGUAGAAGAAUGUGGGACUGAGAAGUCGAUGAAUCACUAGAAUCUUCAGAAUUAUACGAAAGUGGAGAAGAUGUCCUCCCAGGAAUUAAGCUUGGGACUGCGCACCUAGAAAAAGGUAUUAUUUGUGGAUACUUUCCCCCCAGUCUCAGCCAACAAUCACUAGUUUUCGUGGACUGUUGUUCCUACACGCUUGAACUCACAUAGGUCAUGCAGAUCCAGGAAGCCUUUGGACCACAAAACAGGUGACAGGUUACAGAAUGAGAGGAGGAGAGCCAGGACAGUCUCAUGAAUUCAAUCUAUCCAGUUGAAGCCCCAUGCCAUCCAUGUCCAAACCACAUCUUUCCUACUUACAAUUUUUGCUUCUACGCUAUGUUGUACCUAUUGUUCUUGGUACCACCUUUUAAAAACCUUGUUACUGGUUCUCACCUGCUUCUCUCCUGAUUUGAUUCUAUGGAUGGUAGAACCUUGCAUAUCACUGACCUCUUAUUCAACUUAGUCCUUACCUUGUAGUGGCUGUGGAAAUCACAAAUUGACAAGAUGCGUUGUUUGGAACACCUUUCUGACACCUACAGAGACUGCUUGGGAGAGAUGCUCUAAUGUCCUCUAGACUUACAUACCAACAUAGCCAAGUACAGCAGCAUGAGGCUAUUCAUGUUUGAAGGACCAGCUAUGAACCAUGUGGAGCUUUGACUCUAUAGAGCCUCCUAGUCUUGGAUGAAGCAAGUAGAACAUACCAACCUGGCCUGAACCAGUUUCUUCUGGCAUCGUAGAUGCAUACAAUGUAAAAGAGUAUCCACAGGGAGAAUUAAUUACUAGGGUGAAAAAGAAUGUCUAUGAAAGAUUUAGCCUGAAGAUGGCCUGCUUGUGCCUCCAGAAAACAUAAAAAGGAAUUGAGAGAUGAAAUGGUCGACUGGAGCCUGGAUUUUAACUAAACUGAAAAGACCGUUAAUGACUUGACAGAAAAACUACUGGCAGUUCCAAAAAGGAGAGCCCUAACUCACUCUACGCUGGAGUUAACUGUCCCUAUCUGAGAUUUCUCUCAGCAGCUUCCUCUCCAAGAAAUGUCAUCUAUGCCUCAUCUACACAAAAGGAGUCAGAAUACAUUUCUGCAGAGAAUAAGAAUAUUUGGGGCACUGUGGACCACCAUGGCCAAGAAAGACAAGCAGUGUCCACAGCUGCCAAGAUGAAAAUGAAUGCCAGGAAGGCAGCUGCAAAUUUUCGACGCUGCUGCACAUACUGUUGGGACUGCAUUCUAGGAAAAAACAGAGCAACAGAAGAAGGUGGUGUCAUCCUAAGUCAGAGAGAUGGAUCACAAAGGCUUAACGAUGUUAUGUGACUGAAGUUAGGAAGAUGUGAUAAAGAUCUUCAUGGACAUGUUGAGUUUCAAGUGCCAGUAGGACAUUUGAACCGAAAUCGAUAGGAUGUUAUAGAUCUGGAAAAGGGCUCCGGUAUGGUGCUCGGAAUGAACAUGGAGUCAACGGAGGCUCUUUGAAUGAAUGGAAAGCCUUGGGGCUGCCCAAAGAAGACAAAGCAAGAAAUUGGAGAGGCACGCAAAAGGUGAAAACAAUUGUAGUUUUUACAUAAGUGAAUUAUGGGUAGCAGCAAAGGGGUAAAAGCAACAAGUGUAAGCAAAGGGAGUUGAAUCCUGGAAACCAAGCAAAGAGGAAGUUUCAAGAAGUAAAAAAAUGAUGAGCAAAGUCAAAUUCUACAGGUAGGUGCCCACAGGAAUUAGCAAUAAGUCACUAGCAAUCUCAGAGAUACAUUUCAGUAUUAUUGUGAAGUUAAAAAAGCAAACAGCUAUCUCAGAAACAAUCAUUAAGAUAACAUUAGAGACUGUUUCUUGGCCAGUGAACAUCCUGUGUGACUUUGCCCAGAUAUUAUAUAAGAAGAGCCUAAUAAAUAUUCAAUGUGAUAUAAUGAAAGGCUUUGAGAACUGAUACAGUAUAAUGGAAAAGACUGUCCAAGAGUCAAGGACCAAAUACCUGUUCAAGGAGCUGGGGUGACUCAAAAGGACGGCAAAGACAAUGACUCCUGUUAGAAAUUGAAUCCCAUGAGACCCUUUCAGGUAAAUUUGAUUUGCACGAUUUGACUCAUAAUAAGAGAAAUAAGAGACCCUCUCACUGCUUUUGUGAGAUUGUGAUUCGGGGAGUCCCAGCGCUGGAUAUUUUGUUUCUAUAAAGCUCUAGAGAUGACAUCCCUCUCUCUCUUCUGAAACCCUUACUGCACAAAGGGCUACUGGAGAGCCAGGCACCAUCCACCUCACCUGGGAGCACAUAAGAAAUGCUGCUUCUCGAGCCCCCACCCCAGACACUUCCAAAGUAUAACUGACAUUUUAACAAGGUCAAGAUCCCCAGGUGAACUCCUACAAAGAAGUUUAAUAGAUGCUUCUUCGAAACCAUUGUUUCUUUAGAAAUAAGAAGUUGAAUACUGGGGUGGCUCAAAUGGUUAACUGUCCACCUUUGGCUCAGGUCAUGAUCCUGGGGUCCUGGGAUCGAGCCCCAUGUCUGGCUCUCUACUCAAUGGGGAGCCUGCUUCUCCCUCUCCUCCCCACU